Molecule: ribosomal RNA, 292 nt
Filed under: uncultured bacterium
Lineage: Bacteria
Description: partial 16S ribosomal RNA
Rfam family: Bacterial small subunit ribosomal RNA
Source: RNAcentral
GUGUCAGCAGCCGCGGUAAUACAGAGGUCCCAAGCGUUGUUCGGAUUCACUGGGCGUAAAGGGUGCGUAGGUGGCCAGGUAAGUCUGCUGUGAAAUCCCGCAGCUCAACUGCGGAACUGCAUUGGAAACUAUCUGGCUAGAGGAAUGGAGGGGAGACUGGAAUUCUCGGUGUAGCAGUGAAAUGCGUAGAUAUCGAGAGGAACACCAGUGGCGAAGGCGAGUCUCUGGACAUUUCCUGACGCUGAGGCACGAAAGCCAGGGGAGCAAACGGGAUUAGAUACCCCGGUAGUCC